This 306-nucleotide ribosomal RNA is filed under the name Triticum aestivum (bread wheat). RNAcentral's name for it is "partial small subunit ribosomal RNA". The record is from RNAcentral. Lineage: Eukaryota; Viridiplantae; Streptophyta; Magnoliopsida; Poales; Poaceae.
AUGAGGAUUCUUCGUCAACAACUAAACCUCCCAUGGUUGUGCGCAGGUGACUUUAAUGAAAUCUUAUAUAGUCAUGAAAAAAGAGGAGGGCCACCCCGAGCACAUAACCAAAUGGAGAACUUUAGAGCAGCACUAGAUGACUGUGGGUUGCGAGACUUAGGAUAUAUUGGUGAUAGAUAUACCUGGCCAGCCAAUUAUAUUAAGGAAAGGCUAGACCGAGCGGUGGCGUCAAGAAGCUGGUGCAUGAGGUUUCCUGAGUAUAAGGUCCUAAAUGGAGAUCCUUGUCAUUCUGAUCAUAGGCCGGUU